AGUGAACGCUGGCGGUAGGCCUAACACAUGCAAGUCGAACGGCAGCACAGGAGAGCUUGCUCUCUGGGUGGCGAGUGGCGGACGGGUGAGGAAUACAUCGGAAUCUACUCUGUCGUGGGGGAUAACGUAGGGAAACUUACGCUAAUACCGCAUACGACCUACGGGUGAAAGCAGGGGACCUUCGGGCCUUGCGCGAUUGAAUGAGCCGAUGUCGGAUUGGCUAGUUGGCGGGGUAAAGGCCCACCAAGGCGACGAUCCGUAGCUGGUCUGAGAGGAUGAUCAGCCACACUGGAACUGAGACACGGUCCAGACUCCUACGGGAGGCAGCAGUGGGGAAUAUUGGACAAUGGGCGCAAGCCUGAUCCAGCCAUACCGCGUGGGUGAAGAAGGCCUUCGGGUUGUAAAGCCCUUUUGUUGGGAAAGAAAUCCAGCUGGCUAAUACCCGGUUGGGGUGACGGUACCCAAAGAAUAAGCACCGGCCAACUUCGUGCCAGCCGCCGCGGUAA
RNAcentral lists this ribosomal RNA (506 nucleotides) under uncultured bacterium. RNAcentral's name for it is "partial 16S ribosomal RNA". It matches the Rfam family "Bacterial small subunit ribosomal RNA", at positions 29 to 523 of the family's 1533-position model. The record is from RNAcentral.